UCCCAACUACAGGCGUAGGCUCUGGGUGCUAUUGCAAAAAUUUACCAAUGCGUGGCCGAGUGCCUGGGCCGUGGGGGCGGUGCCGUGGCUGCGUUGGAGCGGGAAGCGCGGCUACCUAAACCCGACCGCCCUUGUGGGUGUGGUCAGGCCCUGGGUGUCCCACCAAGGUACGGAAAGAUGUGAAGUCCUUUCCUGGAGUUCUCCGUCAGAAAGAACCUGGACUUGGAAUUCAGGCUGCACCAUGCUUUAGGGGCCCCUGUCUCGGUCAGGACACUCGUCUCUUUGAUUAAAUUGUGGCGUGACCUCGAUGUACAAUUUUAAAAAUUGCUCUUCAUAAUUGCUAUUUGUUUUUGUUGUUUUGUCCCUGCCUUACAAGGAAAGUGACGGAGAUGGCCGUUCCAUUGUUUUCUUUUUUCUUUCUUCUGCUUUUUUCAGCCCUAUUCUUUUUAUAACGCCAACUCUCCUGUGGACGGUGUCGCACACUUGGUCUUCCACCACUCUGGAACAGACUGACAGGAUGAUUGGAAGUUUAAGCCCAACCUGGACAAUUUAGUGACAUUGGGAGAUCCUGUCUCAACGAAAAUUAAAAAGGGUUGAGAAUGUAAGUCAGUUAGAUAAUAGGCUCAAUCCCCAGUAUGGGGAGUGGAAGAAGGGGACCUCUUCUGCUUGGCUCAUUGGAACAUUUAGUCUGUUUAGUGGAGUGGACUAUUGACUGAUUCUAGAAUCACAAAAAAAAUGAGAUCUUUAAGUUUAUUGUGAUUUUAUCACAAUACAAGGCAUCUCCACUUUCUACAAAAUAAGUGUUCUUUUUCUUCACUCCUCAUGGAAAUCAUUUGAAAGUUCACAAAAAGUUCUUCGCUUCUUUGAAUUUUCCAGCAAUGCAGAUCUCAUGAAUCAGAUCUUCCUGUCACAUGACAUCCUAUUUAUAAAGAGAGCUAACAAUCAAAGAGUUAUCUGUCAAAGUAAUUAACUUACUGAUUUUGUCAAAACCACGCUUGUUGAUCAGUUCGUUUACAGAUGAUAGUUUGGGUACCUACAUGUGAGCUUUGGAAACAAUUCUUGUAAUGUUAACCGAAGCCUUGUUGAAUUUAAAAAAAGGUAUUAUUGACCAAAGGUACUGUGAAUAUGAAAAACCUGCAACACUCCAGAUAUUUGGACUUACAUCAUUGACACCUUGCGUCCUGAUGACAAAUGCCAAUUUGGGUUCUGUGGGUACACGGUUUUGUUAUGUAGACGAAGAUGGCCUUAACUUGUUAUGUGUCCUGGGCUGGCAUGCAAUGCACUCCUUCUUCAGCCUCCUUGGAUGCUGGGAUUACAGUCAUGCAACACUAAGCCUGGUAAAAGAGCAAAGGGGAAGGCACCACAGUCAUGAAUUUGAAGUUAUAUUACAAAGCUCCUGUGAUUAAAACAGCAUGGUACUGACACAGAAAAACCAGACAUGUGAAUCAGUGGAAUUAGAAUAGAGGAUACAGAAACA
Molecule: long non-coding RNA, 1477 nt
Organism: Fukomys damarensis (Damara mole-rat)
Lineage: Eukaryota; Metazoa; Chordata; Mammalia; Rodentia; Bathyergidae
Exons: 3
Source: RefSeq, a predicted model, not a curated record